This is a non-coding RNA of Paramuricea clavata, 189 nucleotides long. The record is from the annotation of a GenBank genome assembly. Lineage: Eukaryota; Metazoa; Cnidaria; Anthozoa; Malacalcyonacea; Plexauridae.
GGGAUGUGUUCACUUUGGAAGGGAAAGGGGUGUGAGUGGAGAGUCGAGAGUAAAAGAAUUGGUGCAUUAAUAUAUAUGUAUAUAUAUAUAUAUAUAUAUAUAUAUAUAUAUAUAUAUAUUAAUGCACCAAUUCUUUUACUCUCGACUAUCCACUCACACCCCUUUCCCUUCCAAAGUGAACACAUCCCC